RNAcentral lists this ribosomal RNA (186 nucleotides) under uncultured Lactobacillus sp. RNAcentral's name for it is "partial 16S ribosomal RNA". It matches the Rfam family "Bacterial small subunit ribosomal RNA", at positions 355 to 533 of the family's 1533-position model. The record is from RNAcentral. Lineage: Bacteria; Bacillati; Bacillota; Bacilli; Lactobacillales; Lactobacillaceae.
UAGGGAAUCUUCCACAAUGGACGAAAGUCUGAUGGAGCAACGCCGCGUGAGUGAAGAAGGGUUUCGGCUCGUAAAACUCUGUUGUUAAAGAAGAACAUAUCUGAGAGUAACUGUUCAGGUAUUGACGGUAUUUAACCAGAAAGCCACGGCUAGCUACGUGCCAGCAGCCGCGGUAAUACGUAGGUG